GGGUUCGAUUCCGGAGAGGGAGCCUGAGAAACGGCUACCANNNNNNNNGNNGGCAGCAGGCGCGCAAAUUACCCAAUCCCGACACGGGGAGGUAGUGACAAUAAAUAACAAUACGGGGCUCUUUCGGGUCUCGUAAUUGGAAUGAGUACAAUUUAAAUCCCUUAACGAGGAACAAUUGGAGGGCAAGUCUGGUGCCAGCAGCCGCGGUAAUUCCAGCUCCAAUAGCGUAUAUUAAAGUUGUUGCAGUUAAAAAGCUCGUAGUUGAAUUUCGGGAUUGACACAUCGGUCGUGCCUUAAGGGGUAUGAACUGGUGUAGUCAAUUUCUCACCUUCUGGAGAACCGCAAUGCCCUUAAUUGGGUGUCGCGGGGAACCAGGACCUUUACUUUGAAAAAAUUAGAGUGUUUAAAGCAGGCAUUUUGCUUGAAUACAUUAGCAUGGAAUAAUAAAAUAGGACGGCAUGAUUCUAUUUUGUUGGUUUCUAGGAUCACCGUAAUGAUUAAUAGGGAUAGUUGAGGGCAUUAGUAUUCAAUUGUCAGAGGUGGAAUUCUUGGAUUUAUUGAAGACUAACUACUGCGAAAGCAUUUGCCAAGGAUGUUUUCAUUAAUCAAGAACGAAAGUUAGGGGAUCGAAGACGAUCAGAUACCGUCGUAGUCUUAACCAUAAACUAUGCCGACUAGGAAUCAGACGAUGUUAAUUUUUUAAUGACUCGUUUGGCACCUUACGGGAA
Molecule: ribosomal RNA, 728 nt
Filed under: uncultured Glomeromycotina
Lineage: Eukaryota; Fungi; Glomeromycota
Description: SSU rRNA
Rfam family: Eukaryotic small subunit ribosomal RNA
Source: RNAcentral